UACUGAGCGUCGUUAGCAGCAGCUGUAGGUUGUUAACUCCUUGACCUCUAAUUGGUCGGUUCAAAUCUCAGGCUCAAAUCCCAGCGCUUCCCAUGUCAGCAGUUACUCACAAGCUGCUCCUGCUGUAAAUUCAAACCAGGGAGAUCAGUCUGUAGUUUGGCCCAAAGUUCCCAAAGGGGUCAUCAUGCAACGUAAUCCAACUCAACCACACGUGGGGCCCGGCAUCUCUUAUCCUACUGCUCAAAGAGGACCAGCACCAUCUGUUGGCCUCAGUUCUUCUUCUGGGCCCAUCUCCUCAGGCUUCAGGGACCCUUCAGUCAGGCAACUUCCUUUCAGCUCUGCACAACCAGGAUCUGCUUUUCAACCUGGUCCUGAAAGAAUCCACAUGGCUCCUCCCAAUCCUAACUCUGGAGGUGUGGGAGUGUCUGGUAUCCGUGACGUUGCUUCCAGUUUCCCUGAGGAAGUGAGUCCACCAACUGAAUCACCGUACAAAGCGGGAGAGCUCUCCCAGUUUGAUAGAAGCUUUGACUAUGGCAACAACGAGAUGGAGACUGAGCAACGCGGCAGUCGGCCUCCACCACCCUUCUUUGGUCCAGCGUCUGCUGGACAAGGUUUUGCAGGACCACUUCAGCCAAACACCAACAUUGGUUUAGGAUUUGACUUCUUUCCUUCCCCUUACUACGACUACAUGUUCCUGACUGGCCAGUAUCCUCCAGGCACCUUCAGUCAUACCAGCAGCAGCUAUAAUCAGGGGAGGGACUACUACGAAGACAUUCAGUAUGAGAGACCCGGUCGUGAGCAGCCGAUGGCGCCAGUCGCUGACUUUCAAUCCCCCCAGAGCAUCAAGGGUCCCAAUCCUCGGAUGGCUGGUUACAGGCAAGUUGGUGCAAAGGCCAAACCUGAUUCUUCCCACAGAGGCUUCAAGCCGGUUAGUGGCCAAGCUGGUGGCCGCAACCAAGUUAAGGUGGGGAUGCCUUCAGUGUACAAAGCCUUUUGAAUGCAAUAAAAGUUUUAAGAUGUCAACUUGACUGCUUUCCUUAUAUUUUUUUUUUGAUGUGCCAAAAUUAUGCAUGACAGGUUUAUUUGGAGAUGAAGAUUCAUACACCUGAAC
This is a long non-coding RNA of Gasterosteus aculeatus aculeatus (three-spined stickleback), 1111 nucleotides long. NCBI's taxonomy places the organism in Eukaryota, Metazoa, Chordata, Actinopteri, Perciformes, Gasterosteidae. The record is from Ensembl.